This is a non-coding RNA of Pelobates cultripes (western spadefoot toad), 307 nucleotides long. The record is from the annotation of a GenBank genome assembly. Lineage: Eukaryota; Metazoa; Chordata; Amphibia; Anura; Pelobatidae.
UUCUGUCUGUGUCACCCUGCAGCGGGAGGGACAGACUCUGUGUCCCAUAGCUCCUUCUGUCUGUGUCACCCUGCAGUGGGAGGGACAGACUGUGUCCCAUAGCUCCUUCUGUCUGUGUCACCCUGCAGUGGGAGGGACGGACUCCGUGUCCCAUAGCUCCCUUCUGUCUGUGUCACCCUGCAGUGGGAGGGACGGACUCCGUGUCCCAUAGCUCCCUCUGUCUGUGUCACCCUGCAGCGGGAGGGACAGACUCCGUGUCCCAUAGCUCCUUCUGUCUGUGUCACCCUGCAGUGGGAGGGACAGACUC